GACGAACGCUGGCGGCGUGCUUAACACAUGCAAGUCGAACGGUGACGAGGAGCUUGCUCCUCUGAUCAGUGGCGAACGGGUGAGUAACACGUGAGCAACCUGCCCCAGACUCUGGGAUAACAGUUGGAAACAGCUGCUAAUACCGGAUACGAGACGGAGAGGCAUCUCUACCGUCUAGGUAAAGUUUUUCGGUCUGGGAUGGACUCGCGGCCUAUCAGCUAGUUGGUGAGGUAAUGGCUCACCAAGGCGACGACGGGUAGCCGGCCUGAGAGGGCGACCGGCCACACUGGGACUGAGACACGGCCCAGACUCCGUACGGGGGGCAGCAGUAGGGUAAGUUUUCGGCAAUGGGCGAAAGCCUGACCGAGCGACGCCGCGUGAGGGACGAAGGCCGUUCGGGUUAGUAAACCUCUGUCUGGGGGGAUGAGAACGGACGGUACCCCGGAGGAAGCCCCGGCUAACUACGUG
RNAcentral lists this ribosomal RNA (468 nucleotides) under uncultured bacterium. RNAcentral's name for it is "bacterial SSU rRNA". It matches the Rfam family "Bacterial small subunit ribosomal RNA", at positions 28 to 507 of the family's 1533-position model. The record is from RNAcentral.